RNAcentral lists this long non-coding RNA (547 nucleotides) under Homo sapiens (human). RNAcentral describes it as "HSALNT0086549". Lineage: Eukaryota; Metazoa; Chordata; Mammalia; Primates; Hominidae. The record is from RNAcentral.
UUAGAAACUCGCCAGGAACCAAGCCUGCCAGCCCGCGUCCUCCUGUAGCCAAGGGCAACCCUUUGCUAUGGAAGCGUAUCCAGGCUGGAACUAGGCGAAAGGCCUUAGAGAAGAGGGGACGCUAGGGCUCAGCCGCAGAGGACAGAAAAUCGUGUUUCGCCACCUGCUGGCGGAAAUUAGGCGGCCGUGGUGGCGUGCGCCUGUGGUCCCACCAGCUCAGGAUGCUGACGUGGAAGGAUCAACCCAGGAGGCGGAGUUUACAGUGAACCGAGAUCGAGCCACUGCACUCCAGCCUGGGCAACAAAAUGAGACUCUGUCUCAAAAAAGAAGAAGAAAGAAGAAAGAAUAACAAGAAGGAGAAGGAGAGGGAGAGGAAGAGGAGGAGGAGAAGAGGAAGAACAGGAGGAAAAGAAGAAAGAGAAGGAGAAGAAGGAGAACAAGGAGAAGGAGGAGAACAAGGAGAGAUCAAAGAAGAGGAAGAAGAAGAAAAAAGAAGAGGAAGAAAAAGAAGAAGGGUAUUUGGGGUAUCCAUCACCUUGAGUAUUUA